This 253-nucleotide ribosomal RNA is filed under the name uncultured bacterium. RNAcentral's name for it is "partial 16S ribosomal RNA". It matches the Rfam family "Bacterial small subunit ribosomal RNA", at positions 524 to 776 of the family's 1533-position model. The record is from RNAcentral.
UACGAGGGGGGCAAGCGUUGUUCGGAAUUACUGGGCGUAAAGGGCUCGUAGGCGGCCAACUAAGUCAGACGUGAAAUCCCUCGGCUUAACCGGGGAACUGCGUCUGAUACUGGAUGGCUUGAGUUUGGGAGAGGGAUGCGGAAUUCCAGGUGUAGCGGUGAAAUGCGUAGAUAUCUGGAGGAACACCGGUGGCGAAGGCGGCAUCCUGGACCAACACUGACACUGAGGAGCGAAAGCCAGGGGAGCAAACGGG